Molecule: small nucleolar RNA, 108 nt
Organism: Coffea eugenioides
Lineage: Eukaryota; Viridiplantae; Streptophyta; Magnoliopsida; Gentianales; Rubiaceae
Source: RefSeq, a predicted model, not a curated record
AAGUCCAUGGUGUGGACAAUUCCGAAGCAAAUCUUGAAACCUUUCCCAUGUUUCAUAUAAUGACUCACCAUCAAAUUGACUAAAACUAAUAAUAUCCAUUAUAAAUUU